GAUUGAGAAAUCGAUACUUCAUUCGAUCUAGAGCUACUGGAACGACUGUGACUGGAACUGGAUAGUAACUAGGGUUUGCUUUCAUAGUUUUGCAUGCAACAUAAGUUAUAAACAAGAAGUGCAUGAGUAAGUGAAAACUGCAAUAAUCAACCAUAUCCCGCCCAAAAUUUUUGAAGUAUCUGUGAAAACCCACUGGUUCCACAUGACACCACUGUGUUCUGGUUUGUACACAUCGCUAGAUGGCAGCAACAACAGGAUCAUGAGCAUACAAGAUAUUUCUGCCAGCUCGUAAUCAAGUGAAUUCAUGGAUUUGUUACAUCAGUUCUGCUAAUGAAGUGAUGUUAUUUUUUAGUAUUACAAGCUUCUAAACAAAUGGGUCCAUGUGGACACAGUGGGAACAUUAGUAUCUUGGGAUGUCUAAAUUAUCAACAGAAGUUAUUAUGAUGAAUGAUGAAGCUUCUGAUGGUAUCAAAAAACUGCAGGAAUAUUUGGAUGAUGAAGUGAUUGAAAAUAAUGUGGACUAAUGGAAGACUCAGAUGCAGUGAGGGAAGAGCCUUGUAAUGGUUUGCCAGUUGAGCCUGUUUCUCAGUCUUUUGACUCUAAUGAUAAUGAAACAGAAAUUACCACUAGGCCUACUCUUUGUAAUGGUGAUAGUGAUGAUUUGAUGUUCCAUUGGCUCAAAUAAUGAAGAAACUACAAAAUAAAACCAGCAGCUGUAUAGGGAAAUCAUA
Schistocerca piceifrons (Central American locust) is the source of this 731-nucleotide long non-coding RNA. RefSeq lists it as uncharacterized. The transcript is spliced from 4 exons. NCBI's taxonomy places the organism in Eukaryota, Metazoa, Arthropoda, Insecta, Orthoptera, Acrididae. The record is from RefSeq and is a predicted model, not a curated record.